AGCUACGUUCUUUGGUCUCUACUUGAAUAUCUCUGGCCAAUUGUCUUCCAAGGGAUCCCAUCGUUGUGCCACCACUAUACCAACCACUUGCCGACUUCAUGCUCUGUGGCAGUCCCCAUGCUGAGCACCGUUCCUUCUCUGCCUCAUUCAGUUGUCGCAACCACCCAACAAAGCUUCGUAGGUGAAAGUUGCAGCCAGGGUUUGCGAACCCUUGUGUUCAUGGCGACCAAGCAGGUGACCCAAAGGCAGGAGCUUCUGGAAAGUGUCGUGCAUGGCACCUGCCACCAGAGGGGGCAAUUCAUAAACGGUAGCAGGUAGGACUGCAACCUUGGAGAGGAGGAAGAGGAGGCAAGAUGGAAUUAAGAGGAAGAGGAGACCUUGGGCCCCAACUUCUCAGGAAACAGUGCCCUCCCAAUCUGUUCCCAAUCUCCUAGGCUUCAUCAAGUCCACGCUUGGACACAGCCCUGCUCCAAGAGGAGGUUCCAGGUUCCAUGAAUCUGUAAUAACCCCCCUGGUGUCAGACUCUCUCUUUGGGUGAUACCCCAAAUGGUUGUCCUUCUUCAUCUUUGGUUGUUGACCAUAAAGUGUUUUUCUUCUGUUAAUUAUUUGUGUCAAGCAUAAGAAUAAACAACAUAUUAAAAUAAUUCAUUAAGGAUUAUAUGUCAUUUGUUGGUUGCAUGUGCCAUAUGAGAACUGUUACCUUCUUUUAACUUAAAAUAUUUCUCAAAAUUCUUUGAGCAAAACUAUCUCUCCUGGCCAUGAGUAUUCUAUUGUAAUACCCCCACCCCAGGCAUGGUUCUACAAACCUAAUGGGUUGCACAUGCCCUAUUUAAGAAACGUGUUCCUCAACUGACUUUCAGUGGUCAACACCCAUUGGACAGCAGGUGAGCCUAAAAUAUCUCCAUGAGAGCCCCAUCACCACUGGAAGAUUAUCACGAAACCAAACAUCAGAGCUCAUUUCCAAAAUUAAUCUUCUGUUGGCCAACUCUAUUUUCUUUCACUUCUGGAAAAAGGGGGGGCAGGUGCUCACAACUAAUCUCUACUUUUUUUUUUUAGAGUUUGUUUGUUUUUUUAUUUAUUCAUGAGAUAUAUAUAUAUAUAUAUAUAUAUAUAUAUAUAUAUAUAGAGAGAGAGAGAGAGAGAGAGAGAGAGAGAGAGAGGCAGAGACAUAGGCAGAGGGAAAAGCAGGCUCCAUGCAGGGAGCCUGAUGUGGGAUUUGAUUCUGGGACUGCAGGAUCAUGCCCUGAGCCAAAAGCAGAUGCCCAACCGCUGAGCCACCCAG
RNAcentral lists this long non-coding RNA (1282 nucleotides) under Canis lupus familiaris (dog). Its description in RNAcentral is "lncRNA (ENSCAFG00040005096.1)". Lineage: Eukaryota; Metazoa; Chordata; Mammalia; Carnivora; Canidae. The record is from RNAcentral.